This 253-nucleotide ribosomal RNA is filed under the name uncultured bacterium. RNAcentral describes it as "partial 16S ribosomal RNA". It matches the Rfam family "Bacterial small subunit ribosomal RNA", at positions 524 to 776 of the family's 1533-position model. The record is from RNAcentral.
UACGUAGGGUGCAAGCGUUAAUCGGAAUUACUGGGCGUAAAGCGCACGUAGGCGGACCAUCAAGUCGGGGGUGAAAUCCCGGGGCUCAACCCCGGAACUGCCUCCGAGACUGCUGGUCUGGAGGUCGAGAGAGGUGAGUGGAAUUCCGAGUGUAGAGGUGAAAUUCGUAGAUAUUCGGAGGAACACCAGUGGCGAAGGCGGCUCACUGGCUCGAUUCUGACGCUGAGGUGCGAAAGCGUGGGGAGCAAACAGG